UGGCUCAGUGGUGAAGAGCACCGGACUGCUCUUCCAGAGGUCCUGAGUUCAAUUCCCAG
Molecule: transfer RNA, 59 nt
Filed under: Rattus norvegicus (Norway rat)
Lineage: Eukaryota; Metazoa; Chordata; Mammalia; Rodentia; Muridae
Source: Rfam by way of RNAcentral